Molecule: long non-coding RNA, 3087 nt
Organism: Gallus gallus (chicken)
Lineage: Eukaryota; Metazoa; Chordata; Aves; Galliformes; Phasianidae
Source: Ensembl
GCCGGCCGCCAGGCAGCGCCCGCCACGGGACCCGCCGGGAAACGGCCCCUGGUUUGGAAAGCUGCACAGCAGGAUUUUCCCGUGCGCUGCUCUUCUUCCCUGCCUCUGAAACGUUUCUUUUUCGAUUGCUGCUAACAACAGGCUUGAGCGGGCCCCGGAGAAGCUCGUGAGGUUCAAAAUACGGAAGGACAAGGUGUAGCACCUGGGAAUGGCGACCCCUGCUACCAAUGCCUGACAGGGGAUGUAAGGAUGGAGCGCAGCUCCGCUGGAAAGGACUUGGGGUACUACUGGUGGAUGGCAGCUGGACAUGAGCCAGCUGUGUGCCCUCACAGCCCAGAAAGCCAGCCGUACCCUGGGCUGCAUCAAAGGAAGCGUGGCCAGCAGGGUGAGGGAGGCGAUCCUGCCCCUCUGCUCUGUGCUGGUGAGGCCUCACCUGGAGCACUGUGUCCAGACGUGGAGUCCUCAGUACAGCAGAGACGUGGAGCUGUUGGAGCGCGUCCAGAGGAGGGCCACAGAAAUGAUCCCAGGGAUGGAACGGUUCUCCUGCGAGGAUAGGCUGAGAGCUGGGGCUGUGCAGCAUGGAGAAGGGGCAGAGCAUUGACAAACAGGAGUAAGUUCAGUGGAGAACUACCAGGAUGGUUGGGGCUGGAACACUUAUCCUGGGAGGAAAGGUGAAGGAACAGGAACUACUCAUCCUUCGAAGGGUCCUCGUGGCAGUUCCCUGUCUAUAGUGAGGCUUCUGAGGAGAUGUUAAGCAAGGCUCUUGACAGUGAUGUGUGCUGGGAGGACAAGAGAAAACAGGGCUAAUUUCAAACAAGAGGCCCAUUCCAUUAGCCUGUCCUGCCUUUCUCUUUCCCAUGAAUUGUGCUCUUUAACAGCCUUUUGUACUGAUCAAAGGACAGAGGCUCAGGAGUUGGGAAGCUGAAGCUCCUGUGAACCACUCUUUCCUGUGGUCUGGGAAAUAACACUGAGCUGCAUCAGAACUUGGCCCCGACUCAAAAGCUUGGGGAGGUAAUUAAUACAUUUUUUAAAUAUAAAUGUGGAAAUCCAUUUAGGGAACAGCAAUUGAAAUUCGUUAGCAUUGCAGGAUUUUCAUUUUCUGUGCUAGAAGCCACCUGUAGAAUGCUAGUUUUUAUCUGAAGAUUUAAAUGAUCAAGUAAGAUUUUGGAUAUUUUUUCAUGUCAAACUCCUCAGAUACUGUAACACGUAGGUAUUUCCAUUCUGUUUCCUGAGAAGCCAGCCUUACCAGUCAAAACAACCCAAGCUGUUUGAUUGUCUUCAGCCAUGUCUGUUUCCACCUCUGCUGCCAGCAGCCACGGAACGUGGCAGCAUUUGAGGAGCAGCCAUUCUCUCCCUUUCACGUGUACAGCAAGGACACAGUCCUCAACAGCUGAGAAGAGUAAGGUAAGGAAUUAUUACCAGAGCUGCCAGGCUGAUGAAUAUGAUAGCUCUCUGGAGGGAUCUGAUAUCAGUUCCUGACUCAGAGCUUGGUCCUUUGAACUGCAGUGUUUAACUGCUAAAUUUCUAUCACCUUUGUAUCUACACUUAGGGUCCUCAUCCAAAAAGAGAAUAAUGAAGUAGAUGGAAGCAAUUACAGCUUUUCUUUUUCUUUUUAAUUUGAUAUCAAGGUGUCCUUUACAAGCAAGGCAUGUGCUGAUCUUUAUCAAAUAAAUAAAUAAAUAAAACUGGCAUCCAAACUCUUUUUGAGGAAAAAACUGCAGUUUUCCUGAGCCAGAGAAGAUGGAGUUGUGUGCAACUGGCACAAGUGUCCACGCUUGGACGAUUGCAGGGAUCUUUGCAGCUAAAAGAAUGAAGGCAGUUGCCUGCUUCAGAAAUGUCAAAGCAAAAACCUAGCCAGAAACAGUUUGCCUGAGGUCACUGGAUCAUAGCAAAGCAUGGAAAAUGGAUGCUAUCAGUCAAGUCACACUUGUAACUUCAGUCCUAGCACUGCUCAUCUCCUGCAGGUCUGCUAGAACAGAAUUAUCUACCAGUUUCAAGCAGCAGUGCAUUUCAUAUUUAUAUUUAUUUCCAUGGAGACAACAACGGAUACAAACAGCACAAUGAUACUAUUUGAUGGAGCAAAUUCUCAGCUACCAAAAAACCUCUUUUUCUACAGUAGCUGAAUCGUGUGGAUGAACUGAUCAGGAUGAUCCUUGUUUUGUGGCAUGACAGCUGUGCAUGGCUGUCUGGAACACGGCUUGUAUUUCACAUUGCUGUCACCACUGCUGAAACACACCACCCAGCCCCUCACUGUGCUCACAUUUAUUGUUUGGGCUCCAUAAAUGCUCAGCAAGCAUUGAUGAAUGUCAAUGGGUGCCAUUUUUUCUGCAUGAAGGAAUGCAAUGACACAACUUUGCUCCAUCCACACUUCCAUGCCAGACAUCAUUCUGUCAGACUACCCCUUUGCUGCCAUCUGUCACAGAACAACAGCAUGGAAUGGGAUAUUGGUGGGAAGGUUCAGCCUCUACUGCCACAUCUCCAACAUCAGCUUCUGAUGUCAUAGGCCAACAAAACAGGAGAAAUCAGCAACCAUGGAUACGCAAUGAAGAACACUGUGCUCUCCACUCACCGAAGUCUUGAGCUGUUUGAGUGGUGCUGGUGUGCUGAGACACGGGGAAAGACAGCUCUUCUCCUCCUCAUUUGUUCCUCAAGUGCUAUUCACUUCCCAAGGACUUAUGGUAUAUUUUGCACAUAAGUCUACAAAGUGAGUCUCUCACUGCAGGGGAAAAGUGUCAUUUGAGCAGUCUGUCAAAGUGAAAAGUGGCUGAAAUGACCACUGGCUGGUUGAAAUGACAACAGCUCCACUUAAAGCUGUGCACUUGCAGCUGUGAGUGGAUUCUGGGUUGAACUGCGUGUGGAUCUGAUCUGGUUCAACCCUAGACUGGAAGUUCUCAGUCAGUGCAAAACUAGUUCAGUGUUUGUUGAAUGAAUUACUCUGAAAUGAACAUUUUACAGCAUUUAUUCCUAGCAUAUUAGCAGAGCAGAAUCUAUCUAGACAUUUAUCCUUCUUUCUUUGAUAACAGUGUGACUUAUUUAUGAAUGGCUUCUGGCCCAUUUUUCUACCAGUGACUAUUGUGAAUUUCAGCA